UGGGGAAUUUUGGACAAUGGGGGAAACCCUGAUCCAGCCAUCCCGCGUGUGCGAUGAAGGCCUUCGGGUUGUAAAGCACUUUUGGCAGGAAAGAAACGUCGUGGGUUAAUACCCCGCGAAACUGACGGUACCUGCAGAAUAAGCACCGGCUAACUACGUGCCAGCAGCCGCGGUAAUACGUAGGGUGCAAGCGUUAAUCGGAAUUACUGGGCGUAAAGCGUGCGCAGGCGGUUCGGAAAGAAAGAUGUGAAAUCCCAGAGCUUAACUUUGGAACUGCAUUUUUAACUACCGGGCUAGAGUGUGUCAGAGGGAGGUGGAAUUCCGCGUGUAGCAGUGAAAUGCGUAGAUAUGCGGAGGAACACCGAUGGCGAAGGCAGCCUCCUGGGAUAACACUGACGCUCAUGCACGAAAGCGUGGGGAGCAAACAGGAUUAGAUACCCUGGUAGUCCACGCCCUAAACGAUGUCAACUAGCUGUUGGGGUCUUCGGACCUUGGUAGCGCAGCUAACGCGUGAAGUUGACCGCCUGGGGAGUACGGUCGCAAGAUUAAAACUCAAAGGAAUUGACGGGGUCAUAGCUGUUUCCU
This 585-nucleotide ribosomal RNA is filed under the name uncultured bacterium. RNAcentral's name for it is "partial 16S ribosomal RNA". It matches the Rfam family "Bacterial small subunit ribosomal RNA", at positions 355 to 1375 of the family's 1533-position model. The record is from RNAcentral.